CAGAAAGGGUUGAAUAAGAUCUGUGGAUCAAUUACUGUCAAACGUAUGGCUAGACGGGCAGAACAACCUGCAAGGAUUCUGUCUCUUAUGUUCUUUUGUUCAGUGAAAUAUAGAAUAUUUGUAAAACAUGGCUAAUGUAUUUUUUCAGCUUCUGCAGCCCUGAUGCUGUGUCACUGAGUGUCCUGUCUGUGUUUCUUUACAGGGGAGGAGAAACUCAAUGCCAUUCCUGUCAUCCUCACAGAACUGGGCAAGUGAUCUUCUGUGUCUGUGAGAUCACAGAUCCACCAAUAUAAACACUAAUGAAUUAUAUUUGAGUGCACUGUUGUUCUGCAGUUUACUGUACUCUACUGUAAUGAACUAUAUUACACUGGAGUGUAUCCUUCUUUUAUUUUCUUCAGUAAUACACACAGGUAUUUGAUCAGUUGUGAAGAUUUACAAAAGCAAUAGAAGCUACAGAGAAAGAGAAAUUCCUGUACAAAAAUGUAAAUAAGGAGAUCUAACUCAGUUUUGACUUCCUCUCAGUUUGGUCCCAAUGCACAUUUUCAAAGUUAAUAUUUUAAUGAAAACUUUAGUUUUAGACCACUUGCAUUGGUGAAAAAAACUAACUGGCAGCAGAAACUAUAAAGUAAGAAAUGCUGCUUCUAUGAAUAUCAGUCUUCUUUGCUCUCUUCUAAUGUGUCAAAGACACUCUGAAAAGGCUCGUUUCAGACUGACAACAGGCCAUCAGCCCCUUGUCCUGAGUGAACAGUCUGUAUCUUGACACUGUGGGGGUCCUGCCUGUGUCCUGCUGUUACACACAGUAUCUGUAGUGCUGGAACAACACAGCUGGUUGUUACAGUACCAGCAUCCUGCCACCAGAGGGCACCCAAGCCGAUUGCAUGUACCUCAUCUGCUCUGGGGAGGAGUAGGUUAAUCAGACCUCAUUAACCCAUCACCAGGCCUCCCCUCCAGCCUACUUGAACCCUGCUCUGUGUCCACAGUGCUCAGUAGUGGGUUAGACCUUGAGAGCUACAUGGUUCUUUCAUUGUGAUAUCUUCCCAAUGUUCCUUCUAGGUUUUGGGAUUUUUGGCUUGCUUUUUCCACCUCGAUUUCUGGGUUUAGACUUUAAGACCUUGACCUUGGAUUUCACUGUUUGCAUGUGAUCAUACCUGCGUAGGGUCCACUUCUUUGAAAAUAGAUGCUGAGCAGUGUGACACUGCUCUGACUGCUUGUGUUCAGCCAGCUGGGCCCCUGUCUGUGUCAGACUGAUACUGUCUGUGUGUCCUGGAUCAGGCCU
This 1276-nucleotide long non-coding RNA is filed under the name Lepisosteus oculatus (spotted gar). RNAcentral's name for it is "lncRNA (ENSLOCG00000022818.1)". The record is from RNAcentral. Lineage: Eukaryota; Metazoa; Chordata; Actinopteri; Semionotiformes; Lepisosteidae.